Triticum aestivum (bread wheat) is the source of this 2605-nucleotide RNA transcript. RefSeq lists it as uncharacterized. The record is from RefSeq and is a predicted model, not a curated record. Lineage: Eukaryota; Viridiplantae; Streptophyta; Magnoliopsida; Poales; Poaceae. The transcript has 2 exons.
CCAAACACUUGUCAUCACUAGCCAGAGCUAACUUGUCUGUGCGGCUAACAUAGACUCUGGCCAUGGCAGCUAUAUAUAAACCUAGCUAAACUUGUUCAACAGUUUGCCGCGAUCGUCCAUGGUUAACGAGGAUGGACUGAACCGCCCUACUCAUGUAUGAAUCUCCAUCGUCUCUGGUACUUAAGUGUUUGCGUUUCCGCAGAGCCGUACUUUGAACCCUAAAUUUCUCGCCGCCACAUGUUGACGCCGCGUGUUUCCCUAACACCGGCUACAUCUCCUUGAGCGUCAUGGCCAGAUGCCGCCUCGGCCCCAGCCGCCACCGGCGGCGUACAAGCACUUCUGCAGAGUCUGCAACAAGGGGUUCACGUGCGGCAGCGCGCUCGGCGGGCACAUGAGGGCCCACGCCGUCGCCGACGACGGCCCGGGCGCCGACGACGACGACGACGAUCCCGGGUCGUCCGCGCGCGGCGGGGAAGAUAGGCCGUCCACGGCGGGAGCAGCGACGACGCACGUCUACGCGCUCCGGGCGAACCCUAACCGCCUCACCAGGGGCUGCCAGGUGUGCAAGAACUGCGGGAAGGAGUUCUCGUCUAUGGAGCUUUUCCUGGAGCACGGCAAGUGCACCUCGGGCGAAGAGGAGGACUCGGACGGCUCGCCGCCUCCGUCCGUGGCCGGCGAAGAGGAGGACGCGUCGCUGGCCUCUGGGUGGUCAAAGGGGAAGCGCUCGCGCCGCGCCAAGUCGAUCGCUGGCGGAGGCGAUGAUACAAUGCCCGGGCCGUCGACGGCGCCGUCUGGCGAGGACGAGGAGGAGGACUUGGCAAAUUGCCUCGUCAUGCUCUCGUCGUCCAAGGCCGAUCAGGCUAGUGCCGCCGCCGAGGCCGACCCAGAGCCGUGCGCGCCGGCCAGCAAGGAACACGGGAGAAGGCCUCAUCAACAGCCGCAACACUUCCCGAUCGUCGUAGCGACGCCAGAUCAAGCGAUAAUGCUGCCCCUGGCGUUGCCAGCACCGCAACCGCAAUACGCCUCGCCCCUGCCACGUGGCUUGUUCGAGUGCAAGGCAUGCAAGAAGGUGUUCACUUCGCACCAAGCUCUCGGCGGACACCGUGCCAGCCACAAGAAGGUCAAGGGCUGCUUCGCUGCCAAGCCCGAGAGCAGCGUCGGUGGAACACCUCACCACCACGCAGCGGCCGCCGGUCCCAGCGAUGAAAAGGGUGAUGCCGCCGCCGUCGAUGUCAUCCAUGCAAGUGGCAGUGUUGAUGCCAGGACAAACGCCGAUGCCAGCACCGGUGGCGACACGAACGCCGGGACGAGCGGGGCCACGCCAUCCCUGUCAAUGGCCAUCACGACCACCGACCAUGAACCGCCGGUCGCGGGGUUGGCCAUUGCACCGUUCAAGAAGAAGGCCAAGAUGCACGAGUGCUCCGUGUGCCACCGCCUCUUCGCCUCUGGUCAAGCGCUCGGAGGCCACAAGCGGUGCCACUGGCUCACCUCGGGGACAGGGGAUCACGCCAACAUCACAUCCCUGACAGCCGAAGGCCUUGUCGCCGCUGCUGGCCACCAGCUCACUCUCCGGCCAAUGAUGGACCCUCCAGAGCCGGCGCUAGACCUCACCAUCGCGGCCAACCCGUUGCCGUUGAUGGCCAGCGCGACGGUCGCCGAGGCCGGAACCAGCUCGCUGCACCUUGACGCGUCCCCGUCGCUGUACCUCCAGCCAGCGGCGGCACCAAGCAAUCCCAGCCACCAGAACAAGAUGACCGCGACGAGCAGCCACAACGCUAACGACGCUGCUACUCCCCGCGAGGCCGCCGAGGACGAGGCGGACAGCACAGCCGUCAAGAAGGCCAAGCUUAGUGAUCUCAAGGACGUGAGUGCAGCGGGGGAGACGACGCCAUGGUUGCAGGUCGGCAUUGGCUCCUCGUCGGCCGGUGGCGACGGGAAGAGUGCCUGCGAAUGAGCCUCCCCGCGUCGAGUAGAGCUGGCAGCUUCAGCACUGAAGUGACUGAACCGGAACCGACGCGUUGAGAUGGUACAUAGUAGAAAGAGAAAGCUCGAGAUUUUGUUUUGUUCAUGAAGAUGUCGAAUGAGAGGAACUACAAGAAGUCCUAAAAAUACUUGAGGUGCAGCAACAUCACUUAACCUGUUCUUGUUGCCCUAGAUGAUUUAUCAUCCUUGCUGGACCCUCUUGACAAGGAUUCUUAUGAAGACUCGUUGUUGGAGGUUCCUUGCAAUGCAUUCACCAAGAGGCAGAACUUCUUUGCUGCCCCCACCAUCUCUACAAUAAUAUGGCGUGCAAUGCUCAUAGAGUUUUUAGCAUGAAAGGUAAUAUUUGCUUUGUGUUAUUUGAUGGAGAUAAACCAAUAAUCGAGUGCAUAUUCAAAGAAAUAACAACUGAGGUAUAAGGAAUUUCAAAAAAGAAGAAGAGAGACAUGGUAAAAGCAGUUGACAAUGCUACUUGAUGUGCAUGUAGAUACAAGUAUAUGUUAAACCUGAUUGGUGUUGAGCCACUAGAGUAUGUAUGUCCCUGUAGCAACACACGGGCAAUUACCUAGUAUAGACAAGAAAAGGAUUGCUCGGAAAGCAAUACCAAACAUCCAAACGGUAGCAU